GAGUUUGAUCAUGGCUCAGAACGUACGCUGGCGGCACGCCUAACACAUGCAAGUCGAACGAAGUAGCAAUACUUAGUGGCAGACGGGUGAGUAACAUGUAGGUAUCUGCCCUUUGGCCUGGAAUAACACGAGGAAACUUGUGCUAAUACCGGAUAAGUCUUUACGGAGAAAGCUUUAUGCACCAUUGGAUGAGCCUGCACUUGAUUAGUUUGUUGGUGGGGUAAUGGCCUACCAAGACUGUGAUCAAUAGCUGAUUUGAGAGGAUGAUCAGCCACAUUGGGACUGAGACACGGCCCAAACUCCUACGGGAGGCAGCAGUGGGGAAUCUUGCACAAUGGAGGAAACUCUGAUGCAGCGAUGCCGCGUGAGUGAAGAAGGCCCUUGGGUUGUAAAGCUCUUUCGUCGGGGAAGAAAAUGACUGUACCCGAAUAAGAAGGUCCGGCUAACUUCGUGCCAGCAGCCGCGGUAAUACGAAGGGACCUAGCGUAGUUCGGAAUUACUGGGCUUAAAGAGUUCGUAGGUGGUUGAAAAAGUUAGUGGUGAAAUCCCAGAGCUUAACUCUGGAACUGCCAUUAAAACUUUUCAGCUAGAGUAUGAUAGAGGAAAGCAGAAUUUCUAGUGUAGAGGUGAAAUUCGUAGAUAUUAGAAAGAAUACCAAUUGCGAAGGCAGCUUUCUGGAUCAUUACUGACACUGAGGAACGAAAGCAUGGGUAGCGAAGAGGAUUAGAUACCCUCGUAGUCCAUGCCGUAAACGAUGUGUGUUAGACGUUGGAAAUUUAUUUUCAGUGUCGCAGGGAAACCGAUAAACACACCGCCUGGGGAGUACGACCGCAAGGUUAAAACUCAAAUGAAUUGACGGGGACC
This 864-nucleotide ribosomal RNA is filed under the name uncultured bacterium. Its description in RNAcentral is "bacterial SSU rRNA". It matches the Rfam family "Bacterial small subunit ribosomal RNA", at positions 9 to 921 of the family's 1533-position model. The record is from RNAcentral.